AGCGAACGCUGGCGGCAGGCUUAACACAUGCAAGUCGAGCGGGCAUCCUUGUGGUGUCAGCGGCAGACGGGUGAGUAACGCGUGGGAACGUGCCCUUCGGUUCGGAAUAACUCAGGGAAACUUGAGCUAAUACCGGAUACGCCCUUUUGGGGAAAGGUUUACUGCCGAAGGAUCGGCCCGCGUCUGAUUAGCUAGUUGGUGAGGUUAUGGCUCACCAAGGCGACGAUCAGUAGCUGGUCUGAGAGGAUGAUCAGCCACACUGGGACUGAGACACGGCCCAGACUCCUAUGGGAGGCAGCAGUGGGGAAUAUUGGACAAUGGGGGCAACCCUGAUCCAGCCAUGCCGCGUGAGUGAUGACGGCCUUAGGGUUGUAAAGCUCUUUUCUCCGGGACGAUAAUGACGGUACCGGAGGAAUAAGCCCCGGCUAACUUCGUG
RNAcentral lists this ribosomal RNA (436 nucleotides) under uncultured bacterium. Its description in RNAcentral is "partial 16S ribosomal RNA". It matches the Rfam family "Bacterial small subunit ribosomal RNA", at positions 29 to 507 of the family's 1533-position model. The record is from RNAcentral.